UGGAAGUAAAAAGUCGUAACAAGGUUUCCGUAGGUGAACCUGCGGAAGGAUCAUUACCGAGUGCGGGCUGCCUCCGGGCGCCCAACCUCCCACCCGUGACUACCUAACACUGUUGCUUCGGCGGGGAGCCCUCUCGGGGGCGAGCCGCCGGGGACUACUGAACUUCAUGCCUGAGAGUGAUGCAGUCUGAGUCUGAAUAUAAAAUCAGUCAAAACUUUCAACAAUGGAUCUCUUGGUUCCGGCAUCGAUGAAGAACGCAGCGAACUGCGAUAAGUAAUGUGAAUUGCAGAAUUCAGUGAAUCAUCGAGUCUUUGAACGCACAUUGCGCCCCCUGGCAUUCCGGGGGGCAUGCCUGUCCGAGCGUCAUUGCUGCCCAUCAAGCCCGGCUUGUGUGUUGGGUCGUCGUCCCCCCCGGGGGACGGGCCCGAAAGGCAGCGGCGGCACCGUGUCCGGUCCUCGAGCGUAUGGGGCUUUGUCACCCGCUCGAUUAGGGCCGGCCGGGCGCCAGCCGACGUCUCCAACCAUUUUCUUCAGGUUGACCUCGGAUCAGGUAGGGAUACCCGCUGAACUUAAGCAUAUCAAUAAGCGGAGGAAAAGAAACCAACCGGGAUUGCCCCAGUAACGGCGAGUGAAGCGGCAAGAGCUCAAAUUUGAAAUCUGGCCCCUCCGGGGUCCGAGUUGUAAUUUGCAGAGGAUGCUUC
Molecule: unclassified non-coding RNA, 701 nt
Filed under: Aspergillus jensenii
Lineage: Eukaryota; Fungi; Ascomycota; Eurotiomycetes; Eurotiales; Aspergillaceae
Description: sequence contains ITS1, 5.8S rRNA gene, ITS2
Rfam family: 5.8S ribosomal RNA (bases 213-366)
Source: RNAcentral